Lagopus muta (rock ptarmigan) is the source of this 2406-nucleotide long non-coding RNA. RefSeq lists it as uncharacterized. The transcript is spliced from 3 exons. The record is from RefSeq and is a predicted model, not a curated record. Lineage: Eukaryota; Metazoa; Chordata; Aves; Galliformes; Phasianidae.
GAAGGCAAUUCACCUGUGUGACCAGAAAGGGUGGAAUCUAGACCCCAUUUAAGGGCUGACUGCCACUGGGGAAGGAUCUCUUUCUGGAGAUCCCUCCUUUGUGAGCUUUUCAUCCUGAGCAUAGAUCUUUGGAUAUGAGUGGUUGUGUAUGGAGCCAGAAGUAGGACUCGAUGAUCCCUGUGGGUCUCUUGUGGGAUAUUCUGUGAUUCUACAAUUCUAAUAUGAGAGUUCUGUGUUUAACAAGCUGAGAGCUGAUGAUGUCUUUUGAAGUCAAUGGCUGUCUCCUGAUUGUAAACUGUCUAAAACAGCAGAGGCUGGAACUGAGGUAGUUAUAUCCAAAUGAGUUCUUAACUGAAUUAGGUUUUGAUAGCAGCUUAUCAAUAGCUGACAGCUGGGUAUUGAUAGAAAAAGAAGAGAGUGAAGACAAUUUCUCAUUUGCCAUCUGCUAGGUGACAGCACAGACAUCUAAUUCAUUUCUAUAUGAGGAACCAUUAGUGCCAUGCACACAUUUCUGCAAGGACCCAAUGGUCAUUCCUAGCAUGUCACUUGCUAGCAGUACCUUCCUGUCAAAAGCAACAGAAUUGGCCCAAAUUCUUGGUUUAUAUUUAGCUAAGUUUAGCAAGAAGAUGAAGAGUCAACACUUGUCACAAAAUACACUUGUGUCCAAGAUAGCUACUGCAUGCAACUAUUGUGCACUUGAGUGUGUUAACCAUCUCCAGACAGUGAUCAGACAAAACAUUCAGCACAGAUCACACGAUCCAGUUAUACCACUUGUGCAGAAGCAGUGAUACGCAGAAGUGAGUAAAAGUUCAGCAACUGGAACUUCAGUUGUUUCUCUGACAUCUCAAGGGAUUUACUGAAGGGCAAAUGUAUUUCUUAUACCAAACAGCCAAUGUUCGUAAAGCAGACUCCAGCACCAAUUGCCAAGCUCCCUCUUUGAAAUGGAGACAGAAAGAGAGCUCAUAUUAUAUUUCUACCUUUGUGCACUGUCUACAGGUACCAGGCUACCAGUUUCCUAAGACAGGUGCUUGAGUUUAGGUCUAAAUCUAGAAGGAAAAAAUCUGGGCACCAUCUGCCACGUGAAGAUGCAAAGAACAGAUAACUUGCUCUUCUUUCUGCUGUAGCAGCAGAGCAGAAUAAAUGUAUGGACCUGUAACAGGGAAUCACAGAAUCAUCUAAAUAAGAGAAGACCUUCAAGACCAUGAAGUCCAACCAUCAACCUGACCUACUGAAUCUCAUCACUAAACCAAGUGCCAGACAUUAGUGAAGAAGAUGGAAAGGGAACAACAACGGAUCCAAAGAUUUCACCUCUGUCAUAACUACUGUGGGGAAAAAUCUGCAGCUGCAAGAAAAUAAUCCACAGAAAUUAAAUUUAUAUAUUUUGUAACCAUUCCUAGAGCAUCUUAAAUAAGUUUGUCAGUGAAGAGGAUAAUUAAUGAAGGUUAGGUGGUUAUUGUUGGAAAUUACAACCACACCUGAAUGGAACUUACUGUGAGAUCUGCAGCAACAUGGAACUCACUUUAUAUCUGAUUUUGUAAUACGCUGAGAUUCAAAUCCUGGGUCUAACUGCUGGUUAAUACAGAUACACUUUCUAUGGAGUAAAUGGACCCCUGGCAACUCAUCUCUGCUAAUGAUUGGAUGAAUAUUCAUUGAAAGAUUCUAUGAGCCUACAGAUCUUUCUCAAUGAAUGUGCACCUUGACCAUAACAAAGUCUGACAGAUCUAUAGUUCUGCAGGAAUCCCAAUGAGUAUUUAUCCUUUUCAAUGUGGAAUCAAAGUAGAAGCAAGGAAAAAGGGAAACCAUGUGAUCUGAAAGUAAAAAUCCCUGUAUAAUCAUGUAAGAAUAUGAAUCAUAACCUCAAAGCAGAACACUAUAAAGUUUUAGGAAGUUCAUGGAUCUACAACUUCAGCAGAACUUGGCACACCUGAAUGUCAGUACCUCAUGUCCAGCACCCCAAGCCAGGGCUUUGCACUAUUGGACUCCUACAACACCAAUGAUUUUUGAGUUUAUUGACUAAUCCAUUUAUUUUUUGCAAAAUUUCCCCACAGUCUUAUCCACUAUCCACAGCAAUAGGCUGCUGGGAAGUUGUCAAAUAUCAUGACGUGACUUUUGCUGGAUGGUAACUCCACAGAGGGGCUCUUCUUUUCUCUGUCCCUCCCCAGUUCACUCCAGUGUGAAGAUGAAGGAGGCCCAGAUCCAAACCUUAAAGCUUAUUACAUAAAUAAAAAGCACAACGCAAUACCUCAUCGAAAUAAAUUAUCUUUUCAUAUAAAAAUCUUCUAAAGCCCAUUUCUGGAAGAAUAAUAGAGCUGCCAGUCCAACACCUGCAGGGUUGGAAAUAAUUUACUCAGCCUCGCUGACUUUUAGGCAGGUUCUUCACUUGACGAAUGGCCCAAUUAAACAUCU